ACCAUUCUCUAAUUUAAACUCCACUACUCCUAUAAACUCAACUUGAACUUGAAUGCCAUUUCCAACCACCAAUACUCUCUUAUGGUCAUUUGGCUAUCGUUUGCUCUUGAAUCCUUGUAAGACAUUGGCAACAUGGACAGUAGCCCCAGAGUCAAACCACCAAGAAUUCGAAGGAGCAUCUAUCAAAUUGGAUUCAAAACAAACAAAAAUAAUUGGAUUACCUCCACUUUUCUUCUUCUCUAACCAAGCCUUAUGCUUAUGGCAAUCAGCUUUCUUAUGACCAUUUUUCUUACAAAACCAGCAACUAAUCUCCUUCUUGAUGGUAGGUUUGGGGCCAUUAUUCUUCGAGUUGUUGUUCUUGUUACCGCCUUUGUUGUUUUUGCGAUAGUUGUGGAUGGAGGAAGAUCCUUUUGAAUGUGGCUGAACAAUUAGAUUCACACUACCAAUAGAAUCCUUAAGAAUUCUCUUUUCUUCUUGGUCACAGAUGGAUAUGAGUUCAUUAGUAUCUCAUUUGUCUUUCUGAGAAUUAUAUGAUUUUUCAGUUGAUCAAAUUGUGAAGGCAGAGAAUUAAGAGCACGAUGGACAAGAAAUGACUUAGCAAUAGGGAUUUUGAGUUCAGUCAGCUUAGAAGUUAUGUCUACCAUUUUCAUUAUGUACUCUUUAACUCCACCCACGCUAUCAUACUUCAUCCCUGUUAAGCUAUCCAUAAGCUCUCGAGCAUCUGCCAUUUCAAAUGACUUGGUACUUUUCAGCGAUAUCAUCAAAAAAUUUCUUGGCCUUCUCUAUCUCAGGUAUAAUACCUAUGAGAUUGUGAGAAAUUGACCUUUUAAUUAUCAUUAAACACAAACAAUUUGCCCUUUUCCAUUUCUCAUACUAAGCUUUCUCAUCAAUGGAGCUCUGUUCAGUUGGCUUGGGGAACUCAUCCUUGUGCAAAACUAUAUCGAGAUCCAUCAAACC
This 957-nucleotide long non-coding RNA is filed under the name Olea europaea (common olive). RNAcentral's name for it is "long non-coding RNA (OEUR_LNC014472)". Lineage: Eukaryota; Viridiplantae; Streptophyta; Magnoliopsida; Lamiales; Oleaceae. The record is from RNAcentral.